CCCGGCACAAGCAGUGGAGCAUGUGGUUUAAUUCGAUGCAACGCGAAGAACCUUACCUAGGCUUGAAAUGCAGUGGACCGGGUAUGAAAGUACCCUUCCCUUCGGGGCCGCUGUACAGGUGCUGCAUGGCUGUCGUCAGCUCGUGCCGUGAGGUGUUGGGUUAAGUCUCGCAACGAGCGCAACCCCUACUAUUAGUUGCCAUCAGGUUAUGCUGGGCACUCUAAUGGGACUGCCUACGCAAGUAGUGAGGAAGGUGGGGAUGACGUCAAGUCAGCAUGGCCCUUACGCCUAGGGCUACACACGUGCUACAAUGGGUACUACAACGGGUUGCUAAGCCGCAAGGUGGAGCCAAUCCCUUAAAGGUAUCCUCAGUUCGGAUUGGAGUCUGCAACUCGACUCCAUGAAGUUGGAAUUGCUAGUAAUCGCGUAUCAGCGCGACGCGGUGAAUACGUUCCCGGGCCUU
RNAcentral lists this ribosomal RNA (463 nucleotides) under uncultured Chlorobiales bacterium. RNAcentral describes it as "bacterial SSU rRNA". It matches the Rfam family "Bacterial small subunit ribosomal RNA", at positions 920 to 1382 of the family's 1533-position model. The record is from RNAcentral. Lineage: Bacteria; Pseudomonadati; Chlorobiota; Chlorobiia; Chlorobiales.